CCCUGAGCUGAGGAGAUGCAACAUUUGCCAAACAAAGGGGAGCUUGUGUCUCAUCUGCAGGGACAGCGACGGUCAAUUGUAGAGUACGGUGGUGCCAGAGGACACUGAAGACCAUCCCUACAGCAAAGACUUGAGCAGUGAUGUUACUGUGGCCAGACAAGAGGACACGUCUUCAAAGUGUCUUGUGCUAUGUAAGGAAGUGCAAAUGAUCAUGGAAAGAAAAUGUCUUAUUCAAAGUACUUCAUCACAUGUAUUCACUGUUACAUAU
Molecule: long non-coding RNA, 268 nt
Organism: Solea senegalensis (Senegalese sole)
Lineage: Eukaryota; Metazoa; Chordata; Actinopteri; Pleuronectiformes; Soleidae
Exons: 3
Source: RefSeq, a predicted model, not a curated record